RNAcentral lists this ribosomal RNA (325 nucleotides) under Platevindex luteus. RNAcentral describes it as "partial 12S ribosomal RNA". Lineage: Eukaryota; Metazoa; Mollusca; Gastropoda; Systellommatophora; Onchidiidae. The record is from RNAcentral.
CUAAGCACUAAAAUCAUAGGAUUAAAACUUAAAGAACAUGGCGGCCGUAAAAAUGUUCAGGGGAACUUACCAGAUAAUAGAUAAUCCACAAGGCAUUUAACUUAACUUGAUAGUUUGCAUACCGCCGUUUUCAGGUCCCACUUGUGGUGGUGCCAAAAAGCUAAAAGCAAAAAUACAGGUCAUGGCGCAGCUUAUAGUUAAGGCUUUAAGGUGAGUUACAAUAAAGUAUUUAUUUCGGAUUAAGAGUUAAACUUCUUAUGAAGGUGGACUUGAAAGUAAUUUUUAUAAAAAAGAAGUAUAAAUUGAAUCAAGUUUUUUAUGGUGC